UGACUCUCAACAAAUUGAAAAGAAAUACACAGUGAAUGUGUAGUGUUAAUUUAUUUUAUUAAUCGAAAUAUUCCGCUGUCGAAGGAAUAAGUGGUCGACAAUAACAGUGGAUUUCAAUUUUUAUAUAUAUAUAUAUUAUAAAUCAUUUUACCCAAAUUAUAUGGCAAUUAUAAAAAAAAAUUAGGAAAAAAAAAAUACAACCAAAUCGUGUAUUUAUUAAAUGAUCUUGUAAAUAUUACUUGUAAAUUAUAUUCGAAUUAGAUAGCGAAUGUUUUUAUCCUUUCACGUACGUUUGUAUGUAUGUAUGUAUGUAUGUAUGUAAGGUAAUUUAGUCCAUCGCUCAGCGUCGUCGAAAUUUUUUAAGAUAUUCUUCAUAACAUGUUAUAAUGUAUGUAAACUUAGAUGUGAAUUCUCUGUACAUAGUGGCGCAAAGCGGUGUGCCGUUUUCGGAAUAUCGGAAUUAUUUAAAAUGUAAAUAUUAAUUAGAAGUAUAACUAAGCGUAAGUUAAGACUGAUUUGCUUUCGAUAUUUCUUUUAGAAUUUAAAGAUAUAAUACAAUCAAAGGGAAUGUCGUCGUGAUAAAUUUAAAGAUCAAAUUGCAGAUUAAAUGAAUAUACAGAUAAAAAAAAAACUUUUUAAAAAAAGAACGUUUUUUUUAUUAAUAUACUGGUUGAACGUUUUUUAAUGAUAUCGUUUUGAUUGUACUGUAUCUUUGUAUCAUAUAUUCAUUCGGAAUAGAAUUAACCGACUGACAUAGAUAAUUUCGCUUUAUUAAUAUUAUGUUUUUUAUUUUAAUAACGCAAUGUUAUCAAUCAUGUUUAAUUUUUAUACGUUGGCUUCAGCUUUACUUUGCUAUAAAUGUAUUUUAUAUUUUAAUUUACGAUCCGUUACAAUAUCAGCGUAUUGCAAAUUAAAUUUUAGAUUUUUUUACUGUAAGAUACCAUUGUAUAGUAUCCUUAAGAAUGUCAUUACGCACUAUGUGUGAGAAGAAAAGAGACAGCAACAGUUAAUACUGUAGACUCUCGAUAAUCCGACAAAUGUUUUACAAGGCGAUGUUAGGGUACAGAGUGCUGCCAUCCCGGAUUUUUCCAGUCCAGAUUUUUUUAAUUAAAAUAUAUAUAUAUUGUAUAAUUUGACAAAUGCUAUGCGUUAAAGUUUGAAGUUUCGCUUGCGUUGGCUUACAAAGAGCGUUGGUUUAGAUAUUAGUCGGAUUGUCAAGAGUCAUGUAACUUGCAUUAUAUAGACUAUCCCUGUCCCUAUUUCUUAGAGAUUCAAGUUUUGGUGUCAUCUGGGCUAAGUUUUGCUAGUGCAUAAGUAACUUUCUUAAAUGCCAUACAUAGUCUUUUUUAUUAUAAUCAAAACGCACAAUAAUAUUUAUAUAAUAAAUAAUAACUGUUUAUUAAAUAAAUCGCAAUAAUUUUUAUUUUUUUAUUUAGAAAUAAUUCUCAUCUGUCACUGUUUAAAAUUAAACGUUGUCAAUAUUAAAAAGUUAUGAUUUUUUUUUAUUUUGCGUCCAUCUAACGUUUGUUUUUUUAAGCAACAUAUCAAUGACUAUAUAAGAAACAAUCUGCAAGUUUUGGGACCAAAAAAUAUUGUCAUUGUUAAAGUUCGAAUGCCUCGAAAAGAUAUUAGCUAACUACCUAAACUAACUUUAUCAAUUGCAUUAUUAACAUGCUAAAAUAAUCGAAUUUCACAAUCAUUAGGAAAAAUUAUCAAUUUUAUCUAAAAACCAAUACUUGCCAAGUUAAAAAUGAAUUUAAAUAUUGCAACACUAAAACGUAUUUAAAAAUAUUGUACAUGCAUGAUACAUGCAAUUAUUUUUAAAUGAUCAUAUGAACAGAUAAUUUAUAUAAAAAAUUAUGGACACACAGUAUAUAGUUUUUUUUUUUAAUUAAUUUUAUCAACAACUCGUGUAAAAGCUGUACAAUAAUGUAUAUAUAUAUUAUAUCCUUACCAUGUUAUUAUUGUUGCUGUAUUUUUAACCUAUAUAUUGAAAAGUGUAAGCAUUAUCCAGCUUUAUCCUAUAUACGUACGUAGGUUUUUAUAGUAGAUAACAAUAUUGUAAAACACUAUUCGAUUAAAUUGUAAUUUAACGAAGGUUUAUUGCCAAAAUAACACAUUAAAUAAUACUAAUUACUAAAAAUAUAUUAGACUACACGUGACUAUGACACUAAUAAUUGAAAUUAAAAAAUGUUUAAUUAACACCUAAAUUAUUCAUAAAACCUAUCUGUUAUUUCAGAUAUUUUUAUACUUAAAAAUUAAAAUCUUUCAGUUUUCUGCAAGUCUCAAGGUUAGAUGUUUUAAUAUAAGCGUUAGUAGAAUAUAGGGGUAUAAAUAAUUACAGGGUACCAAUUUAAGUAAACUGCCACAAUCGACAAUUACGAAUGUAGUAUUCGACUACGUGGUCAACAAAGAGGAACUUCUAUCCUAUUGUUUUAACUACGGACUGAAAUUAAAUAAUAGGUAAUAACGUGUAACAUAGACAUAUGCGCACAUUUUCAGCCCAAUAAUCAAUAUCCUAAAAUGCGAACUUUAAAAAGUUUUUAUUUUAAACUUAAACAUUCAUUCAUUUGUUAAAAAAAGUUUUUUUUUUACAAAUGAAUGGAUGUUUAAGCUUAAAUAGAUUGCAGUGUCACUUCUAUUAGGUAUCCAUUUAUGUUGUAAUGAAGUAAGAUUAAUAUGAAGUAUAAGUUAACUAUUCUCAGCAAAAUCACUCCAGCUGCAAUGUUCAUAAUUUCACAUGAUUUAUAAAAAUAUGUCCCAUUGCAUUUGAAUACAGAUAGUUUGUUAACAACUUUGAUAAAAAAGUGAAAUUAAACCUCUUUACGUCGUUUAAUUAACUGCAAGAUUCACUUCGGUUAGUUAAUUAAUUAUUACUUGAAUUUACCCAUCAGUUAGAUAAUUUAUUAUUAAAAUGAACACAGGUGUCUCCAAACUUUAUCUUCAACUUCAUUUAAUUAUAAAGAAGUAUAAUAUAUUGGUAUAAUGUAGUGUCGAUUUUGGAUUUGUUCUUGCGGACUAUAGUUUGGAGACACCUGAUUUAAAAUAUAGAUAUAUUUGAUAUUAUUAAAAAUAUACGAUGACUACUGUAUGUACUUUUCUAUAAAAUUGAUAUUUAUAAUCAAAAUAAUAAUUCGUUAAGGGAACUAAUAUUAAUAUUUAAUUUCCUUAACGUCAAACAAAAAUGAUUAAAGUGAUAUUAAAUUUGUGCGAGAAAAUAAUAUUAUCUUUUCUCUCUUUCUAACAGGACAUGUAAUGUAUUAAUUUAAAAUUUUGAACGUAUAACGAUUAAUGAACAGUAUAAUACAGAUUUUUAUAUAAAUAUUAUUUAGGCGCUACAUUGUAGACAAUUAUGUAAAUAAUUAAUAAAUUUAUUACGUGUAA
Molecule: long non-coding RNA, 3384 nt
Organism: Vanessa tameamea
Lineage: Eukaryota; Metazoa; Arthropoda; Insecta; Lepidoptera; Nymphalidae
Exons: 2
Source: RefSeq, a predicted model, not a curated record